Molecule: non-coding RNA, 1648 nt
Filed under: Saccharomycodes ludwigii
Lineage: Eukaryota; Fungi; Ascomycota; Saccharomycetes; Saccharomycodales; Saccharomycodaceae
Description: small subunit ribosomal RNA
Rfam family: Bacterial small subunit ribosomal RNA
Source: RNAcentral
AAUAAGAAGAACAUGAUGUUGGUUCAGAUUAAACGCUAUAUAAGGACAUUACACAUGCGAAUCAAACGUAUAAUAUAAUAAAAUAAUAUUAUAUAUGUGGUGUAAACGUGAAUAAUAAAUAGGAAUAAUAACUAUAAAUAAAGUAAAUAUAAAAACAAUAUAAAUAUAUAUUUAUAUAUAUUAAUAUAUAUAAAUAUAUAAUAAAAAUAUAUAAUAAUAUAUAUUGUUUAUAGUAUAUCCUAUAUAAGUUUAGGUAGUAGGUUAUAUAUAUAUAUAUAAUUUAAUAAUAUAUAUAUAUAUUAAGAUAAACCUAGCCAACGAUCUAUAAUCGAUAAUGAAAGUUAGAACGAUCACGUUGACUCUGAGACAUAGUCAAUAUCUAUAUGAUACAGCAGUGAGGAAUAUUGGGCAAUGAUCGAAAGAUUGACCCAGUUACUUAUAAGGAUGAAAAUAAUAAAUUUAUAAAAUUGAUUAAAAAUAAAAUCCAUAAAUAGUGAAAAUAAUGAUAUUAACUAUCAUAUAAAAUAAAUAUUUAAAAUAUUUAUAAUAAUAUGAAUAUAAAUAAUAAUAUAUAUAUUUAUAUAUAUAUUAUAUUUUAUAUUUUAAUAGUCCCUGCCUAAAUUUGUGCCAGAAGUAUCGGUUAAACAAAGGGGGCGAGCGUUAAUCAUAAUGGUUUAAAGGGUCCGUAGAAUGAAAAUAUAUAUAAAAAUUUUAAGAGUUAAUAAGAUUAAUUAAAGAAUUAUAAUAGUAAGGAUGAAAUGAUAAUAAUAAUUAUAAGACUGAUAUAUGUGAAAAUAUUAAUUAAUAAUUAACUGACAUUAAGGGACGAAAGCUAAAGUAUCAAUAUGGAUUCGAUACCCAUGUAGUUUUAGCUGUAAACUAUGAACACCAUAUAAUAUAUAUAUAAUAAAUAUAUUAUAUAAAUGAAAAUGAAAGUGUUCCACCUGAAGAGUAUAUUUGCAAGAAUGAAACUCAAGACAAUAGACGGUUACAGACUUAAGCAGUGGAGUAUGUUAUUUAAUUAGAUAAUCCGCAAAAAUCUUACCAUAAUUUGAAUAAAAUAUAUAUAUAUAAUAUUAUAAUAAUAAUAUAAUAUAUAUAUAUUUAACAGGCGUUACAUCGUUGUCUUUAGUUCGUGUCGCAAGAUUUAAGAUUAAUUUCAUUAACGAACAAAAAUCCAUAUAUAUUAAUUAUAUAAUAUAUAAUAUUUAAUCUAUUAUUAGAUAAAUGAAAGGAAUUAAGACAAAUCAUGAUGAUCCUAAUAUUAUGGGCUAUAGACGUACUAUAAUAAUAUGAUAACAAAAUUAAAAUAAUAAAGAAUAGAAUUAAUAAUAUAAAACAUAUUAAACUUUAAUAUAUAUAUAUAUUAUAUAUAAAUAUGAAUUAUAAUCUGAAAUUCGAUUAUAUGAAAAAAGAAUUGCUAGUAAUACGUUAUAUAUAAUAUAACGGUGAAUAUUAUUACUGUUUCGCACUAAUUACUCAUCACGCGUUAAAACAAAAUAUUAUCCAAAUAUUAAAUAUAUAUUUAUUAUAUAUAUAAUUAUUAUUAUAUAUAUUUAUAUAUAUAUUUUUAUAAGAAAUAUUAUGAAUUAAUGCGAAGUUGAAAUAUAGUUACUGUAGGGGAACCUGUAGUGGGCUUAUAAAUAUC